Procambarus clarkii (red swamp crayfish) is the source of this 492-nucleotide non-coding RNA. Lineage: Eukaryota; Metazoa; Arthropoda; Malacostraca; Decapoda; Cambaridae. The record is from RefSeq and is a predicted model, not a curated record.
GCUAGGUAACAGGGGCAUAGGGUGAAAGAAACUUUGCCCAUUGUUUCUUGCCGGCGCCUGGGAUUGAACCCAGGACACAGGAUCACAAGUCCAGUGUGCCGUCUGCUCGGCCGACCGGCUCCCCUACUCCCUACUAUUGACACUCCCUGGAUCAGGAUGAUGCACAUCAGCUGCAGCAGUAAAUGAUUGCUGGACCAUCAGCUGGACACCUGGUUGUUUCUCUGGGAUGUUGUGGAUUGUGACUGUUGAUGGCUGGUUGUUACUUAAGCGUCAGAUUGGUCCUGAUAUUUGGCACCUGACUUGGCAGCUUUAUUCAAGUGAAGGCUUUUUGACAUGAUUAAAGAGCCUGUGUGCUCCAGAAAGUACUCCCUCCCUCCAGAAAGGUCCCUCCACGAGUUGUCCUCAAGACUGGCCAGAGUCAAGACUCGACUUGUGAAAGCUUGGUCUGACACUUGUUCUGUUCAAAAGUAAAAUAAAAAGUCCCUAAUGUCA